GAUUAAGAACGCAGCGAAAUGCGAUAAGUAAUGUGAAUUGCAGAAUUCAGUGAAUCAUCGAAUCUUUGAACGCACAUUGCGCCCGCCGGUAUUCCGGCGGGCAUGCCUGUUCGAGCGUCAUUUCAACCAUCAAGCCCUGGGCUUGUGUUGGGGACCUGCGGCUGCCGCAGGCCCUGAAAUGCAGUGGCGGGCUCGCAAGACACACCGAGCGUAGUAGCUUACAACCUCGCUUUGGGAGUGCUGCGGGUGCUGGCCGUAAAGCGACCUUUGCGUCUUUAGCACUAGGUUGACCUCGGAUCAGGUAGGAGGACCCGCUGAACUUAAGCAUAUCAAUAAGCGGAGGA
This 344-nucleotide unclassified non-coding RNA is filed under the name soil metagenome. RNAcentral describes it as "partial contains 5.8S ribosomal RNA, internal transcribed spacer 2, and large subunit ribosomal RNA". The stretch from base 1 to 120 matches the Rfam family "5.8S ribosomal RNA", at positions 35 to 154 of the family's 154-position model. The record is from RNAcentral.